AUACGGAGGGGACAAGCGUUAUUCGGAAUCACUGGGCGUAAAGGACGCGUAGGCGGGUUAUUAUGUCGGGUGUGAAAUCCAAUGGCUCAACCAUUGAACUGCAUUCGAAACUGAUAACCUAGAGUAUGGAAGGGGCAGGUGGAAUUAGUGGUGUAGGGGUAAAAUCCGUAGAUAUCACUAGGAAUACCGAAAGCGAAGGCGACCUGCUGGGACAUUACUGACGCUGAGGCGUGAAAGCGUGGGGAGCAAACAGGAUUAGAAACCCGGGUAGUCC
Molecule: ribosomal RNA, 274 nt
Filed under: uncultured bacterium
Lineage: Bacteria
Description: partial 16S ribosomal RNA
Rfam family: Bacterial small subunit ribosomal RNA
Source: RNAcentral